Molecule: long non-coding RNA, 2380 nt
Organism: Limulus polyphemus (Atlantic horseshoe crab)
Lineage: Eukaryota; Metazoa; Arthropoda; Merostomata; Xiphosura; Limulidae
Exons: 2
Source: RefSeq, a predicted model, not a curated record
UGAUAGAUUAAUGGAAAGACAGAUGGUCAACACCGCCAACUCUUGAGUUAUUCUAAUCGAAUAAUGGGAUUGUAAAGCGCCAGCGGCUGAAAUAGCAAACAUUUUCGGCAAUGGGAUUCGAACCCGCAGUUUGUGAGUGGAGCGCCCUAACUAUCACACCAUACCAGGCCCAGUCUCAUCCGAAGCGCUCAGCUCAUGAAUGAAACUAAGACAACUACAAGCUCGUGGCUUGAUGAAGUAGACAAGAACAGUUCAAGGAAAACGAUGAUACAGACUGGCUGUCCUUGACGUCGACACAGCACGUGACCAUCUAAAAGAGACAUAUGUUAAUGUUACUUCUAGGCACAUGGUCAGGUCUUCAAAAUAAAAAUCUUUCUUCCACAAAUAAUCGAUUCUAAUUUUACUUGCAUUUAGUGCUUGAUUUGUUUAUCACUAAUAAAUUAAGUAGAAUUUAUUUUUAUCAACAGAACUUUGUACGAGGACCUCUUUAUGAGAUUCGGGUGCAGAUAAGACAGUUAAGUUGCGGAGAAAGUGAUACUGAUAUUUCUGGAACCGAAGAAUCGAUUGUAACUCCAAGCUCCGAAACUUUGGUCGCUAUGGAAUAUGUUUUUUUUCUUUCUUUCCUUUUUUUCGCCCAAAGUUAGUUACUAUAUUUUUUAAUUUGGUAAAAAACAAAACACAAAACUAUUUAGUAACAGGGUGUUUGGGUCAACUGUAAUGUUGGAAAUUCCGACAGACUUUCAAAACGAAAAACGUUAUGAAUAAAUGAAUCAACAUAACUUACAACAUAGCAUGACCAGUAUAUAAUAGCAGGUUGAGUACAUCAGUCAAGCUGGAUUAACGGAUGUCACGUAUUAGAACCUCCAUGUGAUUACGUUGAUGUGACUAAAAUACGAGUCGGGUCCUGGCUCAGCAUGUCCUGAGCAGUUUUUUUAGUUGAUUUCGAAUCCCUUAGUUAUUUUUUUUUUAUUGGAGAACUUCAGCCUGACUCGCUCCUAAUGUAUGUAAUGGCCUUAAACACCUUCGUAAAGUCACCUUGGUAAUAAUGGCCCAUUUCAUGAUUCUAUCUAGGAAAACUGACAACAGUUGUGCAUCGGGAUUUCGGUGACGUUUUCCUUGACCACAAUAACAAGAACAACAUCUACUGGACUGUCUUUGGUGUGAUUGGUAGCUUUCAUCAAAACGCUGUUUAUAACAGUAUCAUAACAUCUUGUGUUUCAACAGCACUUGAACUAACUUCCAGUCAACUGACCUUUCUUGGGAUAUUUACUUCAGUGAUUAUUCUACAUUUAUUUAAGCGUUCCUCUGAGUUGAGAGACAAGUUUACAAUCAUCCGUCAAUUCGGGCAGGUAGUUUAAACCAUUUAUCGACAAGCUUGAUGAAUUCCAGCCUCGAUGCAAGUUUGACAAGCUUCUUUUAGCAUAAACACAUGAAUUUUCUGUUUUUCUUCGUUUUGAUGUACGUUUCUUCGUAUGAAUGGUAUCAGUGAACUAAUCUCGCACCCAGUGAAUCGAACAUAUCAUGGGACGUUUCUUAGUCGUAAAAUAGAAUAGAUCAUUCCACAUCCUCAGGAUGCUCUAUUAGGAAUUCAUUCCUAUUUCAACUACUUAAAAACGUAACUCGUAAAGCCUCUCUACGAUGAGUCAUUAUAAAAUGACAGGAAAGAGCUCAGUAAUGACUGAUAGAAAAUCUGGCUUUCCUGUUUAGGCUACUCGGCGCUGUUGUGACUGAUUCCGUCAAGUGGACAGAAAGACGGACAACUAGAUGUUACUAGUUUCAUCCAUCAAUUAGGAAACAGUCUCAUAAUGAGGAUGAUAGGCUGUCUACAAUUCUUUCCCAUCAUAAUCGGUUGUUUUUCUGUGGGUUUGGAUGGGGAAGUGUUCAGGUGAAAGUUGUGUAUUCAGAGAUGAUUUUGUUAAUGAAGUGUGUUGUUCAUAUUAUAAAUGCAAUCUCAAGAGUGAUUGUAGUAUUUUAUAGGCAUUGUAAUUAGAAGUGGAUUAGUCCUUAAUUAGAACUCCUAUGCACUGUAGCUGACAGAGAAAUUCGCGAGGUCUGAUUUUCAGAUGUUUCUAAUAUUAUUUGGCCUCGUUUUUCGGAACAACACCUUAUAAACUCAAUGAUCUGAACAGCCAGUUCAGAGACUCAUAUGGUUCAGACAUCUAUUCCUAAUUUUGAACUUUGGACAACAUGGAAGGCAACCUGUCGACAAAACCCUCUGCCAGUCUUUGUCAAGUAGUGGGUUGACUAUCACUCUUAUAACGCACCCACAGCUGAAAAGUGCGAAGCAUGUUUAGUGAUACCAUGUCUCGAACCCUGUUUUCCAAACCAACACACUAAACUCGGAUCAAUAUUUAUGUGUGUAUGUGGGGGGGGGGGGGGG